UACGUAGGUCCCGAGCGUUGUCCGGAUUUAUUGGGCGUAAAGCGAGCGCAGGUGGUUUAUUAAGUCUGGUGUAAAAGGCAGUGGCUCAACCAUUGUAUGCAUUGGAAACUGGUAGACUUGAGUGCAGGAGAGGAGAGUGGAAUUCCAUGUGUAGCGGUGAAAUGCGUAGAUAUAUGGAGGAACACCGGUGGCGAAAGCGGCUCUCUGGCCUGUAACUGACGCUGAGGCUCGAAAGCGUGGGGAGCGAACAGG
RNAcentral lists this ribosomal RNA (252 nucleotides) under uncultured bacterium. RNAcentral's name for it is "partial 16S ribosomal RNA". It matches the Rfam family "Bacterial small subunit ribosomal RNA", at positions 524 to 776 of the family's 1533-position model. The record is from RNAcentral.